UAACACAUGCAAGUCGAACGGAAACGAAACUAGCUUGCUAGUAGGCGUCGAGUGGCGGACGGGUGAGUAACGCGUAGGAAUCUGCCUGAUAGUGGGGGAUAGCCCGAAGAAAUUCGGAUUAAUACCGCAUAAUCUAUUCGUAGUAAAGUGGGGGAGUGUGGAGCCUCACGCUAUCAGAUGAGCCUGCGUAAGAUUAGCUUGUUGGUAGGGUAAAAGCCUACCAAGGCAACGAUCUUUAGCUGGUCUGAGAGGAUGAUCAGCCACAUCGGGACUGAGACACGGCCCGAACUCCUACGGGAGGCAGCAGUGGGGAAUAUUGGACAAUGGGGGCAACCCUGAUCCAGCAAUACCGCGUGUGUGAAGAAGGCCUGAGGGUUGUAAAGCACUUUCAAUUGUGAAGAAAAGUUAACGGCUAAUAACCGUUGACCUUGACGUUAACUUUAGAAGAAGCACCGGCUAACUCCGUGCCAGCAGCCGCGGUAAUACGGAGGGUGCAAGCGUUAAUCGGAAUUACUGGGCGUAAAGCGUGCGUAGGCGGUUUAUAAAGUCAGAUGUGAAAGCCCCGGGCUUAACCUGGGAACUGCAUUUGAAACUGGUCAACUAGAGUAUGGUAGAGGAAAGUGGAAUUUCUGGUGUAGCGGUGAAAUGCGUAGAUAUCAGAAGGAACAUCAAUGGCGAAGGCAGCUUUCUGGACCAAUACUGACGCUGAGGUACGAAAGCGUGGGUAGCAAACAGGAUUAGAUACCCUGGUAGUCCACGCCGUAAACGAUGAUAACUAGCCGUUGGGGGGAUUUACCCCUUAGUGGCGAAGCUAACGCGUUAAGUUAUCCGCCUGGGGAGUACGGCCGCAAGGCUAAAACUCAAAGGAAUUGACGGGGACCCGCACAAGCGGUGGAGCAUGUGGUUUAAUUCGAUGCAACGCGAAGAACCUUACCUGGUCUUGACAUCCUGCGAACUUUCUAGAAAUAGAUUGGUGCCUUCGGGAACGCAGUGACAGGUGCUGCAUGGCUGUCGUCAGCUCGUGUCGUGAGAUGUUGGGUUAAGUCCCGUAACGAGCGCAACCCCUAUCCUUAUUUGCCAGCACAUUAUGGUGGGAACUAUAAGGAGACUGCCGGUGAUAAACCGGAGGAAGGCGGGGACGACGUCAAGUCAUCAUGGCCCUUACGACCAGGGCUACACACGUGCUACAAUGGGAAGGACAAAGAGCCGCGAAGCCGCGAGGUGUAGCUAAUCUCAUAAAUCUUUUCGUAGUUCGGAUUGGAGUCUGCAACUCGACUCCAUGAAGUCGGAAUCGCUAGUAAUCGUAGAUCAGAAUGCUACGGUGAAUACGUUCCCGGGUCUUGUACACACCGCCCGUCAUACCAUGGGAGUGGGUUGCACCAGAAGUGGCUAGUCUAACUUUGUGAGGACAGUCACCACGGUGUGAUUCAUGACUGGGGUA
This 1441-nucleotide ribosomal RNA is filed under the name uncultured bacterium. Its description in RNAcentral is "bacterial SSU rRNA". It matches the Rfam family "Bacterial small subunit ribosomal RNA". The record is from RNAcentral.